RNAcentral lists this ribosomal RNA (1354 nucleotides) under uncultured bacterium. RNAcentral's name for it is "16S ribosomal RNA". It matches the Rfam family "Bacterial small subunit ribosomal RNA", at positions 28 to 1380 of the family's 1533-position model. The record is from RNAcentral.
AUUGAACGCUGGCGGCAGGCUUAACACAUGCAAGUCGAACGAUGAUUAUCUAGCUUGCUAGAUAUGAUUAGUGGCGGACGGGUGAGUAACAUUUAGGAAUCUGCCUAGUAGUGGGGGAUAGCUCGGGGAAACUCGAAUUAAUACCGCAUACGACCUACGGGUGAAAGGGGGCGCAAGCUCUUGCUAUUAGAUGAGCCUAAAUCAGAUUAGCUAGUUGGUGGGGUAAAGGCCCACCAAGGCGACGAUCUGUAACUGGUCUGAGAGGAUGAUCAGUCACACCGGAACUGAGACACGGUCCGGACUCCUACGGGAGGCAGCAGUGGGGAAUAUUGGACGAUGGGGGCAACCCUGAUCCAGCCAUGCCGCGUGUGUGAAGAAGGCCUUUUGGUUGUAAAGCACUUUAAGCAGGGAGGAGAGGCUAAUGGUUAAUACCCAUUAGAUUAGACGUUACCUGCAGAAUAAGCACCGGCUAACUCUGUGCCAGCAGCCGCGGUAAUACAGAGGGUGCGAGCGUUAAUCGGAAUUACUGGGCGUAAAGCGAGUGUAGGUGGCUCAUUAAGUCACAUGUGAAAUCCCCGGGCUUAACCUGGGAACUGCAUGUGAUACUGGUGGUGCUAGAAUAUGUGAGAGGGAAGUAGAAUUCCAGGUGUAGCGGUGAAAUGCGUAGAGAUCUGGAGGAAUACCGAUGGCGAAGGCAGCUUCCUGGCAUAAUAUUGACACUGAGAUUCGAAAGCGUGGGUAGCAAACAGGAUUAGAUACCCUGGUAGUCCACGCCGUAAACGAUGUCUACUAGCCGUUGGGGUCCUUGAGACUUUAGUGGCGCAGUUAACGCGAUAAGUAGACCGCCUGGGGAGUACGGCCGCAAGGUUAAAACUCAAAUGAAUUGACGGGGGCCCGCACAAGCGGUGGAGCAUGUGGUUUAAUUCGAUGCAACGCGAAGAACCUUACCUGGUCUUGACAUAGUGAGAAUCCUGCAGAGAUGCGGGAGUGCCUUCGGGAACUCACAUACAGGUGCUGCAUGGCUGUCGUCAGCUCGUGUCGUGAGAUGUUGGGUUAAGUCCCGCAACGAGCGCAACCCUUUUCCUUAUUUGCCAGCGGGUUAAGCCGGGAACUUUAGGGAUACUGCCAGUGACAAACUGGAGGAAGGCGGGGACGACGUCAAGUCAUCAUGGCCCUUACGACCAGGGCUACACACGUGCUACAAUGGUAGGUACAGAGGGUUGCUACACAGCGAUGUGAUGCUAAUCUCAAAAAGCCUAUCGUAGUCCGGAUUGGAGUCUGCAACUCGACUCCAUGAAGUCGGAAUCGCUAGUAAUCGCGGAUCAGAAUGCCGCGGUGAAUACGUUCCCGGGCC